Molecule: long non-coding RNA, 442 nt
Filed under: Malus domestica (apple)
Lineage: Eukaryota; Viridiplantae; Streptophyta; Magnoliopsida; Rosales; Rosaceae
Description: long non-coding RNA (MDOM_LNC003551)
Source: RNAcentral
AAAAACUGAACACACGUUAUACGAUGAAUGAACAUAAUUCACGAAUUCUCAAGAUCCUCACCAAAAGGAUUCGGAGAGGAUCCUAUUGGCCUUCUUUUCCUUAUUUGUAUGUCACAUGGGCGCCACGCGGGCAUAAAAGUGAAAAAGAAAAAUAGUUCGUUUAUGUACUUGGGUUAAUCAUUCUACAAUAUACCUCUUUCACCAUAACCAAAUUGCUUUCAAAAUUCACAUCAAAUUUGUCACAUUUGCUUAUACUAGUUUUGGGCACAGAGAGAGAGGGAGAGAGAGAGAGAGAGAGAGAGAGAGAGAGAGAGAGAGAGACCAAGGCACCUCACUUCUGGUUUUGAAUCAAUUUACAAAUUCAACAAUAUGCCAUAAGAUUUGUGCACCUGCCGGCUGGAGAGGAUCGCUCAGUCGGCGUUUUCUUCCUUAACUGCAACUU